This 433-nucleotide ribosomal RNA is filed under the name uncultured bacterium. Its description in RNAcentral is "partial 16S ribosomal RNA". It matches the Rfam family "Bacterial small subunit ribosomal RNA", at positions 29 to 507 of the family's 1533-position model. The record is from RNAcentral.
AACGAACGCUGGCGGCAUGCCUAACACAUGCAAGUCGAACGAGACCUUCGGGUCUAGUGGCGCACGGGUGCGUAACGCGUGGGAAUCUACCCUCAGGUUCGGAAUAACUCAGAGUAAUUUGAGCUAAUACCGGUUGAUGACGUAAGUCCAAAGAUUUAUCGCCUGAGGAUGAGCCCGCGUAGGUUUCGGUAGUUGGUGAGGUAAAGGCUCACCAAGCCGACGAUCCUUAGCUGGUCUGAGAGGAUGACCAGCCACACUGGGACUGAGACACGGCCCAGACUCCUACGGGAGGCAGCAGUGGGGAAUAUUGGACAAUGGGCGAAAGCCUGAUCCAGCAAUGCCGCGUGAGUGAUGAAGGCCUUAGGGUUGUAAAUCUCUUUUACCCGGGAUGAUAAUGACAGUACCGGGUGAAUAAGCUCCGGCUAACUCCGUG